UUUGUACUUGUAACCAUCUUACAAGUUUUGCCAUGCUAAUGGAUGUCUACCAGAAUGAAAGAGAUGUAAAACAUAGUCAAAUGUUGUCUAUUCUUUCUAACAUUGGUUCCGGAAUAUCAUUUGUCUGUGUCAUUCUGACAGCAAUAGUUCAUGUUUAUUUCAAAAAUCUAUGGAA
Octopus sinensis (East Asian common octopus) is the source of this 175-nucleotide long non-coding RNA. RefSeq lists it as uncharacterized. The record is from RefSeq and is a predicted model, not a curated record. Lineage: Eukaryota; Metazoa; Mollusca; Cephalopoda; Octopoda; Octopodidae. The transcript has 3 exons.